UUUUUUCAUUUGUGUCAUCUCUGAAUCAUUCCUGAACAUAUUUUCCAUUUUUCUUUCGUUCAUUUAUCUCUCUAGAUAUUUAAGAUUUUGCAAAGGCACGCAUACACUAAAUCACUUCUUCAAUUUUCAACUACAUUGAAUUCUCUGUAAUAAUCUUUGUGAUAUUUCAACCAAAGAACUUGUAUUUGUUUAUUUAAUUCUAUCUAUGCAUGACUCUUCUUCUAUGAUA
Molecule: long non-coding RNA, 229 nt
Filed under: Lathyrus oleraceus (garden pea)
Lineage: Eukaryota; Viridiplantae; Streptophyta; Magnoliopsida; Fabales; Fabaceae
Description: Pisum sativum (pea) long non-coding RNA (PSAT_LNC018427)
Source: RNAcentral